This is a long non-coding RNA of Prunus persica (peach), 2045 nucleotides long. RefSeq lists it as uncharacterized. NCBI's taxonomy places the organism in Eukaryota, Viridiplantae, Streptophyta, Magnoliopsida, Rosales, Rosaceae. The transcript has 4 exons. The record is from RefSeq and is a predicted model, not a curated record.
GACCAUUUUUGCAACAUUAAAAAUGAAAAUAAAAACAAAAACUAGUGGAUACAAAUUACAUGGGCAAUCUUUUCAUCGCAGUUUUCGAUCUUUGCGAAUUCCUCAUCAAAAGCGUAGAUGGCAUACUUGUGCAGAGGAGAUUUGAUGCUUGGUGGUCCAUGUCCAUGACAAUGAGGUUUGAUUUUGCAAUUGUCUUUGUUUGAAGACCAUUUUUGCAAAAAAACAAAAAACAAAAAACAAAAAAAAAAACAACAAAAACUAGUGGAUACAAAUUGUAGCCGUCUGAUUAAUCCAACGGUGGAAGUUUUAAGUAAGCUAAAAAAAGUGUUAUUAGGACUAAGGUAGCAAAAUUAACAACCUACCAGAAAAAAAGGGGGCCAAAAGAUAAAUGAGACAGAACUAUGGCGAUAAAAUGAAAUUCCCACAUAAAAUUGUUGCCUGGAAAUAGCUUUUCCAAUUCAUUAACCCAAAAUUGGUUGGAACCAUAGAUAAACCUGGGACGGAAGGCAAGAAGUAACAGGGCAUAUAAAUAGAGAAGAGAGGUCCCCCUGACCAAUUAGGGUUUGAGCCUACGCCUUGCUCUUACCACGCUGUCAUCAUGUACCGAAAGGAAUGUCCUAGAAGCUAGAAAGGGUUUCUACUUUUCUUCUUCACUCUUCUUCUCUAGCACAGCAGAAGAACGAGACGUUCCGUCAACUCCAUUUCUUCGGCUUUGUUGAUCACAUCAGAAAUUUUGUUAUAUCUAUUUGAAUGUGCAAGACAUGGAUGACAUACAAGAAGGUAUCACAAAAAGGAUGCAGGAAUUGAAAUUUGAAGCGAUGACACACUGUUUUCCUCGAGAAAUCAUACAUGAGAUCCUAUUUAGGCUAUCCGUUAAAUCUGUAAUCAAUUGCACCUCAGUGUGCAAGUCAUGGAGGUCCAUGAUCAUGAACCAAAGCUUUAUUCGCGCCCAUCUCAGCCCAAUUAAUAACUUGAACAACAGUCACCUCUUCCUAAUCCACAGGGUUGUUGGUAGGGAGGGCUGCACUACGCUACACAGAGCCAUCGUCCACGAUGUAAUAGAAGAGUGCAUUAUGAUAACCAGGCUUUCGAGGAGUACUCCAAGGUAGAAUUUCCAAUUGUUCCAAAGCAAGAACUGCAUAAUCCACAUCUUCAUGUGGCUAGCACUUGUGAUGGGCUAAUCUGCGUUGCGGAUGAUAUCUACUAUUAUGAUUACAACAAUAAGACUUCUAUCCAAGGCGUUAUGUUUUAGGAAGACCGGUGAAGUAUUGUUGAUGCUUUUUGGAGAUAGGGAACAAAUUUUUUUGGUGUAAGGCCUCAUCAUGAAUAUACUUAACGGACCAGACAAAUGCCGUUUCUAACUAAGAGAGAAAGAACAGCUGCCAAGUGUUCUAUUUUGAUCUAUGAAUUUUUGGGUAAAAGCUAAAGAAUUCCUCAUUUGGCAUCCAUCUCUUUUGUGGGUAAGUUUUGGGAAGUUUCUUAGCAAACUUUCUCUUCUUCUUCUUCAAGAGUAAACCAUCGCAUUUUUCAUCUUUGAGUUUUCCAAAUUGAUUGUUCGAAAACUGUAUUUGAAAAAUGAAAUCUGCAUCUAUCUAUAUCAAACACUCUCUCAUAUAUAUCUAGGUCAGAUUCAAAAGAUUGAUUUCUUCAAGAGUAUGGUUUCUUGAAGAAAUUGGUCAUUUUCUCCUUGAAUCCAAAUUUCGAUUCUGUUUGAGUUUGAGCUGGCUAGCGGUGCCAUGGGAUGAAAGAGCUAAAGGAGCUGCCAUUGCUACGAAUGACUAAACUGCUGGUUUUGCUAAGCUGGAGAAGAAGAUGGCACAAAUGAGGUUGCUUUGUUAAGGCUUUGGAAUAAUGGAUGUAGCAGAUUUUUUGCAAGGAUAUUAUCUUUAUGUGUAUUUUUGUGAUGGCUUGUAAUCUUUAAUUUCAUAAGUUUAAUUUGGAUUGCUUGCUUUAUUUGUGUAUUAUUUUUUGUAAUGGUUUGUAAGAGAUUAUAUUUCCUUUCCUUGGUUGGUUGGUUGAAUGUGUGAAUGUGAGAUUCAUUUAGU